RNAcentral lists this ribosomal RNA (253 nucleotides) under uncultured bacterium. RNAcentral describes it as "partial 16S ribosomal RNA". It matches the Rfam family "Bacterial small subunit ribosomal RNA", at positions 524 to 776 of the family's 1533-position model. The record is from RNAcentral.
UACGUAGGUGGCAAGCGUUAUCCGGAAUUAUUGGGCGUAAUGAGCGCGCAGGUGGUUAAUUAAGUCUGAUGUGAAAGCCCACGGCUUAACCGUGGAGGGUCAUUGGAAACUGGUUGACUUGAGUGCAGAAGAGGGAAGUGGAAUUCCAUGUGUAGCGGUGAAAUGCGUAGAGAUAUGGAGGAACACCAGUGGCGAAGGCGGCUUCCUGGUCUGCAACUGACACUGAGGCGCGAAAGCGUGGGGAGCAAACAGG